UUUCUUAAGAUAAAUGGUGUUUC
Molecule: non-coding RNA, 23 nt
Filed under: Rattus norvegicus (Norway rat)
Lineage: Eukaryota; Metazoa; Chordata; Mammalia; Rodentia; Muridae
Source: RNAcentral